UACGAAGGGUGCAAGCGUUACUCGGAAUUACUGGGCGUAAAGCGUGCGUAGGUGGUUUGUUAAGUCUGAUGUGAAAGCCCUGGGCUCAACCUGGGAAUUGCAUUGGAUACUGGCAGGCUAGAGUGCGGUAGAGGAUGGCGGAAUUCCCGGUGUAGCAGUGAAAUGCGUAGAGAUCGGGAGGAACAUCUGUGGCGAAGGCGGCCAUCUGGACCAGCACUGACACUGAGGCACAAAAGCGUGGGGAGCAAACAGG
RNAcentral lists this ribosomal RNA (253 nucleotides) under uncultured bacterium. RNAcentral's name for it is "partial 16S ribosomal RNA". It matches the Rfam family "Bacterial small subunit ribosomal RNA", at positions 524 to 776 of the family's 1533-position model. The record is from RNAcentral.